RNAcentral lists this ribosomal RNA (478 nucleotides) under uncultured bacterium. RNAcentral's name for it is "partial 16S ribosomal RNA". It matches the Rfam family "Bacterial small subunit ribosomal RNA", at positions 28 to 523 of the family's 1533-position model. The record is from RNAcentral.
GACGAACGCUGGCGGCGUGCUUAAUACAUGCAAGUCGAACGGUAAGGCCCUUCGGGGUACACGAGUGGCGAACGGGGGAGUAACACGUGGGUGAUCUGCCCUGCACUUUGGGAUAAGCCUGGGAAACUGGGUCUAAUACCGGAUAGUACCAUGGGCUUCACGGUGGUUGGUGGAACGCUUGUGCGGUGUGGGAUGGGCUCGCGGCCUAUCAGCUUGUUGGUGGGGUAGUGGCCUACAAAGGCGAAGACGGGUAGCCGGCCUGCGAGGGUGACCGGCCACACAGGGCCUGAGAUACGGCCCAGACUCCUACGGGAGGCAGCAGUGGGGAAUAUUGCACAAUGGGCGCAAGCGUGAUGCAGCGACGCCGCGUGAGGGAUGACGGCCUUCGGGUUGUAAACCUCUUUCAGUAGGGACGAAGCGCAAGUGACGGUACCUACAGAAGAAGGACCGGCCAACUACGUGCCAGCAGCCGCGGUAA